CCUACGGGAGGCAGCAGUGAGGAAUAUUGGUCAAUGGGCGCGAGCCUGAACCAGCCAAGUAGCGUGAAGGAUGACUGCCCUACGGGCUGUAAACUUCUUUUAUAAAGGAAUUAAGUGAGGCACGUGUGCCUUUUUGUAUGUAUUUUAUGAAUAAGGCUCGGCUAACUCCGUGCCAGCAGCCGCGUUAAUACGGAGGAUCUGAGCGUUAUCCGGAUUUAUUGGGUUUAAAGGGUGCGUAGUUGGGUUGUUAAGUCAGUUGUGAAAGUUUGAGGCUCAACCGUAAAAUUGCAAUUGAUACUGGCAGUCUUGAGUACAGUAGAGGGAGGCGGAAUUCGUGGUGUAGCGGUGAAAUGCUUAGAUAGCACGAAGAACUCCGAUUGCGAAGGCAGCUUACUAAACUGCCACUGACAUUGAUGCUCGAAAGUGUGGGUAUCAAACAGGAUUAGAUACCCCUGUAGUC
RNAcentral lists this ribosomal RNA (460 nucleotides) under uncultured bacterium. RNAcentral describes it as "partial 16S ribosomal RNA". It matches the Rfam family "Bacterial small subunit ribosomal RNA", at positions 338 to 795 of the family's 1533-position model. The record is from RNAcentral.